This 484-nucleotide ribosomal RNA is filed under the name uncultured bacterium. Its description in RNAcentral is "partial 16S ribosomal RNA". It matches the Rfam family "Bacterial small subunit ribosomal RNA", at positions 30 to 507 of the family's 1533-position model. The record is from RNAcentral.
AUUGAACGCUGGCGGCAGGCCUAACACAUGCAAGUCGAGCGGAUGAAGGGAGCUUGCUCCUGGAUUCAGCGGCGGACGGGUGAGUAAUGCCUAGGAAUCUGCUUGGUAGUGGGGGAUAACGUCCGGAAACGGGCGCUAAUACCGCAUACGUCCUGAGGGAGCAAGUGGGGGAUCUUCGGACCUCACGCUAUCAGAUGAGCCUAGGUCGGGUUAGCUAGCUGGUGGGGUAAAGGCCUACCUAGGCGACGAUUGGUAACUGGUCUGAGAGGAUGAUCAGUCACACUGGAACGUGAACACGGACCAGACUCCUACGGGAGGCAGCAGUGGGGUAUAUUGGACAGUGGGCGAAAGCCUGGUCCAGCCAUGCCGCGUGUGUGAAGAAGGUCUUCGGAUUGUAAAGCACUUUAAGUUGGGAGAAAGCGCAGUAAGUUAAUACCUUGCUGUUGUGACGUUACCAACAGAAUAAGCACCGGCUAACUUCGUG